UGGGGAAUAUUGGGCAAUGGAGGGAACUCUGACCCAGCGACGCCGCGUGCGGGAUGAAGGCCUUCGGGUUGUAAACCGCUUUCAGCAAGGAAGAAGCGAAAGUGACGGUACUUGCAGAAGAAGCACCGGCUAACUAUGUGCCAGCAGCCGCGGUAAUACAUAGGGUGCAAGCGUUGUCCGGAAUUAUUGGGCGUAAAGAGCUCGUAGGUGGUUCGUCACGUCGGAUGUGAAAAUCUGGGGCUUAACCCCAGACCUGCAUUCGAUACGGGCGAGCUAGAGUGUGGUAGGGGAGACUGGAAUUCCUGGUGUAGCGGUGGAAUGCGCAGAUAUCAGGAGGAACACCAAUGGCGAAGGCAGGUCUCUGGGCCAUUACUGACACUGAGGAGCGAAAGCGUGGGGAGCGGACAGGAUUAGAUACCCUGGUAGUCCACGCCGUAAACGGUGGGCGCUAGUUGUGCGAACCUUCCACGGUUUGUGCGACGCAGCUAACGCAUUAAGCGCCCCGCCUGGGGAGUACGAUCGCAAGAUUA
This 530-nucleotide ribosomal RNA is filed under the name uncultured prokaryote. Its description in RNAcentral is "bacterial SSU rRNA". It matches the Rfam family "Bacterial small subunit ribosomal RNA", at positions 355 to 896 of the family's 1533-position model. The record is from RNAcentral.